RNAcentral lists this transfer RNA (60 nucleotides) under Helicella itala. RNAcentral's name for it is "tRNA-Arg". The record is from RNAcentral. Lineage: Eukaryota; Metazoa; Mollusca; Gastropoda; Stylommatophora; Geomitridae.
GUUAAAACGCUAAUAGCAUUUAAGUUUCGGCCUUAAACCUGGGUUUAUACCCUUUUAAUA